AAAUGAGAGUUUGAUCCUGGCUCAGGAUGAACGCUGGCGGCGUGUUUAAGGCAUGCAAGUCGAUUGUGUAACUUCGGUUAUGCAAGGCAAACGGGUGAGUAACACAUUGGUAACCUACCUCUAACACAGGGAUAACCCAGAGAAAUUUGGGAUAAUACCUGAUAGUCAUAUAGUAAUAUAAAUUAUUAUAUGUAAAGUUCCGGCGGUUAGAGAGGGGCCCAUGGCUUAUCAGCUAGUUGGUGGGGUAAAAGCCUACCAAGGCUAUGACGAGUA
This 273-nucleotide ribosomal RNA is filed under the name bacterium. RNAcentral describes it as "partial 16S ribosomal RNA". It matches the Rfam family "Bacterial small subunit ribosomal RNA", at positions 1 to 285 of the family's 1533-position model. The record is from RNAcentral.